CACGUAGGGCGCGAGCGUUGUCCGGAAUUAUUGGGCGUAAAGAGCUCGUAGGCGGUUUGUCGCGUCGACUGUGAAAGCCCGGGGCUCAACUCUGGGCGUGCGGUCGAUACGGGCAUCACUUGAGUUCGGCAGGGGAGACUGGAAUUCCUGGUGUAGCGGUGAAAUGCGCAGAUAUCAGGAGGAACACCGAUGGCGAAGGCAGGUCUCUGGGCCACUACUGACGCUGAGAAGCGAAAGCAUGGGGAGCGAACAGG
RNAcentral lists this ribosomal RNA (254 nucleotides) under uncultured bacterium. RNAcentral describes it as "partial 16S ribosomal RNA". It matches the Rfam family "Bacterial small subunit ribosomal RNA", at positions 524 to 776 of the family's 1533-position model. The record is from RNAcentral.